CGUGAAUUAAUGUGAAUUGCAGGACACAUUGAACAUCGAUAUCUUGAACGCAUAUUGCGGGCCUCGGGCAAUCCCGAGGCCAAGCCUGUCUCAGGGUCGGUUGAAUUACAAUCGCGGGUCGCACUCUGCCCGCGCAUUGGGCUGUCUCGGACGCUUGGCCGGUCGUCUCUNUCGUUCGGUCGCACUCUGCCGAUCGGGAGACGCGCACACACACGGCCGUCGUCGUUCGAGUCGCCUCAAGUCUAGACGUGCGGUCGCUCGUCCGAUAUCAGCCGCGGUCAAUAGCGGUCGUCGGACGGGACGGUGACUCGGUACUCUUUGAGCCAUCCGCCCUUCCGUCGUCGUCGUAUCGGACGGGCGCGCGACCGCAUCGGAAUCGAAACAUACCGUUCGCUCUCGCGGACGAAUCUCAUUCGUUCUCGACCUGAGAUCAGACU
This 437-nucleotide unclassified non-coding RNA is filed under the name Stylodrilus heringianus. RNAcentral describes it as "sequence contains ITS2". The stretch from base 1 to 99 matches the Rfam family "5.8S ribosomal RNA", at positions 56 to 154 of the family's 154-position model. Lineage: Eukaryota; Metazoa; Annelida; Clitellata; Lumbriculida; Lumbriculidae. The record is from RNAcentral.